UUAGCCGGUACUCGCGAAUCAUCUAGUUNAGAGUUUGAUCAUGGCUCACAUUGAACGCUGGCGGCAGGCCUAACACAUGCAAGUCGAGCGGUAACACAGGGAGCUUGCUCCUGGGUGACGAGCGGCGGACGGGUGAGUAAUGUCUGGGAAACUGCCUGAUGGAGGGGGAUAACUACUGGAAACGGUAGCUAAUACCGCAUAACGUCUUCGGACCAAAGUGGGGGACCUUCGGGCCUCAUGCCAUCAGAUGUGCCCAGAUGGGAUUAGCUAGUANGUGGGGUAACGGCUCACCUAGUGCGACGAUCCCUAGCUGGUCUGAGAGGAUGACCAGCCACACUGGAACUGAGACACGGUCCAGACUCCUACGGGAGGCAGCAGUGGGGAAUAUUGCACAAUGGGCGCAAGCCUGAUGCAGCCAUGCCGCGUGUAUGAAGAAGGCCUUCGGGUUGUAAAGUACUUUCAGCGAGGAGGAAGGCAUUAAGGUUAAUAACCUAGGUGAUUGACGUUACUCGCAGAAGAAGCACCUGGCUAACUCCGUGCCAGCAGACGCGGUAAUACGGAGGGUGCAAGCGUUAAUCGGAAUUACUGGGCGUUAAGCCGCACGCAGAGCGGGUCUGUCANAGUCCGGAUUGUUGNAAUUCCCCGGGGCUUCAAACCU
RNAcentral lists this ribosomal RNA (658 nucleotides) under uncultured bacterium. RNAcentral's name for it is "bacterial SSU rRNA". It matches the Rfam family "Bacterial small subunit ribosomal RNA", at positions 1 to 642 of the family's 1533-position model. The record is from RNAcentral.